AAAUGUGCUUGCUGUCUUAACCCUUUGAAGUUUGUAAAAUUACAAGUGGGAUUGAUAACAUUGAUUUGGGGAGAACUCCUGACAGUGGAAACUCUGGAAAUAAAAGCUGCCUGCAGUAAAUGAUCCCUACUCUAGGGCAAUGGUUGGUUGUGGGGCUGAACCCAACCUGAGUCCUUCUGCCAGCACCCAGCUGAGGGCAGAGCUAGGGGAAGGAGGAGCUGCAUGUCCCUGGACUGAACAUCCCCCAACUCCCCAAAGUAUUGUGUCUUCCCCAUGUCAAUGGCAUCCUGUGUUUGAGCUUUCUUGACUUAAACUGCUACUGAGUAUUGAUGCACAGCAGCUGUGGUGGCAUUUGAGGUGUGAAAGAAGCAUUGAGGGCCAAACACUGCUCAGUCAGGGUUGAGGGAAAGGAGGAGGCAGCAUGCUUUUGUCUGCAAAGUGCAGGUUUUGCAAGCUUCUGAGAUAUGGUCUGGCUUGUAGCAUGCUUUGAGUUGAAAGAUGCUUGCUGAUGAGCAGGUAACGAAGACAGCUCCCCAGCAUGAGGUGACCUGCCAGGGUUUGGUCCAGAUGGUCUGUGGUACGCUGUGAAGCAAGAGCUGAGGAACAGGGGAAGAUGUCCACAAGUUACCUGCAAUCGUUUGCCUUCUGCCCCACCGCCUGGAAGGUCUUUGGAAGAAAAUUGAUUGCAGGAUGCUGUUCCCCAGCAGUUUCAGCUGAUCCAAGCCUGGGCAGCUGCUGUCCUUCCUCUUCUGUGCCCAGCUGCACGGUCAGCUCCGUUUGCUGCGGGUGCCCUGUGGUUAACUCCUGGAGCUGAGAGGUAGGCGUGCUGAGCUUUCCUGCUAUGCCGUGCAGUAAGCAUUGCUGUAGAGAGGAAAUCAUAGCUGAGGACGGUGUAUGGAGAAAGUCUUCUGAAGGCUGAACUUCUGUGUACGGCAGUGAUUUACAGAGGUUCUUUGACUCUGUCUGGCCACUCGCAAGGCACCAGCGACCUGAUAAUUAGAUGGAGAAUUGAAGAUCUUUGACAGUGCUGCUAAUCAACAUCUCAGUGCUGGCUUUCUACUCUGCCUGACCAAAAAAAAGGACGUGUGCUUAUCGACUGCAGGGGUGUCCGUGUGAUUGUAACCAUAUUAGAUUGCAACUGGUAGAGCACGGAGUUAUCUUCAGGUGCUUUAUGAAACUGCGACACAGCUUCAGCAGGGACCCACCAGACGUGAACUCAGCCAGACGGUCUGAAAGCCACAGGCUAAAAGAAGAUGAUCAUCAAGAGAAACAAGCAAAGAGAAAAGAUCUGUGACUUCUGUCAAGGAACUCUGAGCCUGCUGCAAGUUUUCACAUACCCCAGAGAAAGCAGAUCCCAGCACCUGCCUGCCCUGAAAACCUGAGAGGCAUGAGAUUUGAACGAGCUGUUGUCUGUACAGAUGGAGCCUCAGCUGAGGGACUGCUGCUCCUCUUCACCAUGCUGAACCUCACUGUUGGUGGAUUGUGCGGAUGGGCAAGAGAAUGGAAAACGUGGCCCAGAGCAGCUUCAACACGUGGCACGGAGAUUGCAGCUCCGAGGAGGCCGUUUCACCUGCUCUCUCCUCCUUGCUCAUUCCCGGCGGUGGCUCCGCUUAAAGCUUGGACUCGUGGCUCCAAUCAAGCGAGCGCCCAAAUUCCUAGAGGUACCAUUUUGCAGCAAUGUGAGCCUAAUUGUUUCUAGAUUGAAUAUUUUCAUGGGAUAUCAGUCUCAGUGUUUCUGGAAUUAGCAUGCUCACUGAAGGAUUGAAGAUGCUUAUCGGGCCCGACAGCUUUAGUGUCAGCGGGAUCAUCGACAGCUCUGCGAAACUUAACUGGGCUGGCGACAAUAUUUAUUUAUGCGGAAUGGAGACAUAUGGCCAGAAUCAUCCGCUCCCUUUCCUCAGUAAUUAAAACAUCUGGGAGCACAAAAGGGCUGUAAGAAGAAGAAAAAAAAACCCUCUCUGCUAAAUAAAACAGGAGCGCGGUGCCUUUACAUAAUUGCCCAGGCUUUCUUUUGCCAUCGCGGCAGGGUCUCUGGAGGACCAACCUUCUCUAAUGUUUUUUGAGUGCGUGACGGUCAAUAGAAAUGCAACUGAACUGAGCACAGCACUCAAACUUU
Molecule: long non-coding RNA, 2116 nt
Organism: Anas platyrhynchos (mallard)
Lineage: Eukaryota; Metazoa; Chordata; Aves; Anseriformes; Anatidae
Source: RefSeq, a predicted model, not a curated record